UACGAAGGGGGCUAGCGUUGCUCGGAAUUACUGGGCGUAAAGCGCACGUAGGCGGCUCGUUAAGUCGGAGGUGAAAUCCUGGAGCUCAACUCCAGAACUGCCUUCGAUACUGAUGAGCUCGAGUUCGGGAGAGGUGAGUGGAACUGCGAGUGUAGAGGUGAAAUUCGUAGAUAUUCGCAAGAACACCAGUGGCGAAGGCGGCUCACUGGCCCGAUACUGACGCUGAGGUGCGAAAGCGUGGGGAGCAAACAGGG
This 254-nucleotide ribosomal RNA is filed under the name uncultured bacterium. RNAcentral describes it as "partial 16S ribosomal RNA". It matches the Rfam family "Bacterial small subunit ribosomal RNA", at positions 524 to 777 of the family's 1533-position model. The record is from RNAcentral.